This 253-nucleotide ribosomal RNA is filed under the name uncultured bacterium. Its description in RNAcentral is "partial 16S ribosomal RNA". It matches the Rfam family "Bacterial small subunit ribosomal RNA", at positions 524 to 776 of the family's 1533-position model. The record is from RNAcentral.
UACAGAGGUGGCAAGCGUUGUUCGGAAUUACUGGGCGUAAAGGGCGCGUAGGCGGCCAACUAAGUCAGACGUGAAAUCCCUCGGCUUAACCGGGGAACUGCAUCUGAUACUGGAUGGCUUGAGAUUGGGAGAGGGAUGCGGAAUUCCAGGUGUAGCGGUGAAAUGCGUAGAUAUCUGGAGGAACACCGGUGGCGAAGGCGGCAUCCUGGACCAACACUGACGCUGAGGAGCGAAAGCUAGGGGAGCAAACGGG